GUGAAGGAGGGUGCCGUAGGGAAAAAGAAUCACACUCAACUGACCUGCAGCACCUCCUGUGGCUUGAGCAUUUUAUCAGCAGUUUGUUUCAACAGUCACACGUCCAUUUGAGUCUUUUCGUCAAAGUUGUCGUUAGUGAGAAUUUAGCAGAGGCCUCUCCGUUAGAAGGGAAAGUGAGAAAUGUCUUUUAAAAGCAUGCUCAUGUUGACUGCAAUAUUUCUCCUGAGGCUGCCAGGUGUUCAGUGUGGAGUGAGUGUGACCUACUCCUCCACACGAGUCUGUGGCCUUGAAGGGGCAUCAGUGGUCCUACCCUGCACAUAUCACUAUUCUUGGGGUCAUAUAUAUCAGAGAGGAGAGUGGUAUGAAGAGAA
Molecule: long non-coding RNA, 371 nt
Organism: Clupea harengus (Atlantic herring)
Lineage: Eukaryota; Metazoa; Chordata; Actinopteri; Clupeiformes; Clupeidae
Source: Ensembl